This 1049-nucleotide long non-coding RNA is filed under the name Homo sapiens (human). RNAcentral describes it as "HSALNT0300605". The record is from RNAcentral. Lineage: Eukaryota; Metazoa; Chordata; Mammalia; Primates; Hominidae.
AUUGUAAGUUUCCUGAGGCCUCCCCAACCAUGAGGAAAUGAGGACAAAACAGAGAAGAAAAAUACCACUCCCACUGCGAUGAAAGGCUUGUCUACUCAAUACUGCCUCUUACUAAUACAAAGAAGAUGUUCCUCUAGAGCUCAGGAGGAAUCUGUGAGUCAGAUUUCAACCCACACUCAUCCUCCCAGCCUGCAGCCAUUGGCAAUGCCCAAACCAAGCAGCCUUGGACAUGGACACAAGACAGGGCCUUGUGUUAAAGAAGAAAAAGAUGCAGAGGGCAGCUAUGUGUCAAACCACGAGAAUUGAGCCAGAAAGCACACAGCAACCCUGCCCAGGCAGGAAGACUCCUACCUCUGCAGAUUUUGGAGAAGCACAGGGGCAAGACCUGCUUUAUCCAAGAGGUCAAGCAGCCACUGAACUCAGCCAAGAGCCCACCCCCUGGCUCCACACAGACAGGGAGGCAAUCCUCAAUUGUGUAUUUUGAAGGAGCAUGGUCUCUGGUCCCACGUGGCUUGAGCAAUGACGCUGCGUAACUGCGGAGACCAGCCUGCAGCCUUGAUCCACUACAGAUCCUAAAUUGAAGAAUUACCUGGCCGGAAGAUGCAUCUUGUGACCACCUAAGCAGGAGUCAUUGGGGUACCCAGCCAGCCAACAUCAGAGCAAACCCAGGGGCUCAGCCAACUACUGAACUCACAACAAGUGCUGCGGACUGGUUGCUCACCAGCUGGCCCUUCCAGAACCACAGUUUGGACAGGGAGGAAUACUCUAUCACUGCCAAAGAACACCUGUAAAGGCCUGAGUUUACCUGUUUGUGACAUGGAAAGCUGCACAAGGACUUUGAGUAGGAGAAUGAAAAUGUAUUUGGAUUCUGGAAGUUAAAUCUAAUACCAAAGUGAGAAUAUUUUGCACACUUCUUGGGCUUUUUAAAAAUAUAUAUAUUUAUUUGAGGCCACAUAAUACAAAAGAGAAUGUACUUUAUUUCCAAAUGUUCUUUAAUCCAUUCUUUUUAUCUACAUAGUAAGGAAUUAGUAAAGAGGAAGACAAGAUGA